This 30-nucleotide non-coding RNA is filed under the name Homo sapiens (human). The record is from RNAcentral. Lineage: Eukaryota; Metazoa; Chordata; Mammalia; Primates; Hominidae.
UGUCCACACAAAAGGUUCUCCAAGUCCCCC